RNAcentral lists this transfer RNA (77 nucleotides) under Sphingopyxis sp. RNAcentral's name for it is "tRNA-Arg". It matches the Rfam family "tRNA". From Rfam's summary of the family: Transfer RNA (tRNA) molecules are approximately 80 nucleotides in length. Their secondary structure includes four short double-helical elements and three loops (D, anti-codon, and T loops). Lineage: Bacteria; Pseudomonadati; Pseudomonadota; Alphaproteobacteria; Sphingomonadales; Sphingopyxidaceae. The record is from RNAcentral.
GUGCCCGUAGCUCAGCAGGAUAGAGCAUCAGAUUCCUAAUCUGGGGGCCGGAGGUUCGAAUCCUCUCGGGCACACCA